This 253-nucleotide ribosomal RNA is filed under the name uncultured bacterium. RNAcentral describes it as "partial 16S ribosomal RNA". It matches the Rfam family "Bacterial small subunit ribosomal RNA", at positions 524 to 776 of the family's 1533-position model. The record is from RNAcentral.
UACGUAGGGUGCGAGCGUUGUCCGGAAUUACUGGGCGUAAAGAGCUCGUAGGUGGUUUGUCGCGUUGUUCGUGAAAUCUCACGGCUUAACUGUGAGCGUGCGGGCGAUACGGGCAGACUGGAGUACUGCAGGGGAGACUGGAAUUCCUGGUGUAGCGGUGGAAUGCGCAGAUAUCAGGAGGAACACCGGUGGCGAAGGUGGCCUGCUGGGCAGUUGCUGACACUGAGGCGCGACAGCGUGGGGAGCAAACAGG